GAAGGAUCCAGACGAAAAUGAAGACGAAGAAGAUUGUCAGUUGGAUUUAAAUUUUGGUUCCAACUGACAAUUUUCUUCGUCUUCAUAUUCAAUUAUG
This 97-nucleotide microRNA precursor is filed under the name Anopheles dirus. RNAcentral's name for it is "microRNA mir-598". Lineage: Eukaryota; Metazoa; Arthropoda; Insecta; Diptera; Culicidae. The record is from RNAcentral.